This 700-nucleotide ribosomal RNA is filed under the name Bacillus subtilis. RNAcentral describes it as "bacterial SSU rRNA". It matches the Rfam family "Bacterial small subunit ribosomal RNA", at positions 50 to 731 of the family's 1533-position model. Lineage: Bacteria; Bacillati; Bacillota; Bacilli; Caryophanales; Bacillaceae. The record is from RNAcentral.
UUCACAUCGCAAGUCGAGCGGACAGAUGGGAGCUUGCUCCCUGAUGUUAGCGGCGGACGGGUGAGUAACACGUGGGUAACCUGCCUGUAAGACUGGGAUAACUCCGGGAAACCGGGGCUAAUACCGGAUGCUUGUUUGAACCGCAUGGUUCAAACAUAAAAGGUGGCUUCGGCUACCACUUACAGAUGGACCCGCGGCGCAUUAGCUAGUUGGUGAGGUAAUGGCUCACCAAGGCGACGAUGCGUAGCCGACCUGAGAGGGUGAUCGGCCACACUGGGACUGAGACACGGCCCAGACUCCUACGGGAGGCAGCAGUAGGGAAUCUUCCGCAAUGGACGAAAGUCUGACGGAGCAACGCCGCGUGAGUGAUGAAGGUUUUCGGAUCGUAAAGCUCUGUUGUUAGGGAAGAACAAGUACCGUUCGAAUAGGGCGGUACCUUGACGGUACCUAACCAGAAAGCCACGGCUAACUACGUGCCAGCAGCCGCGGUAAUACGUAGGUGGCAAGCGUUGUCCGGAAUUAUUGGGCGUAAAGGGCUCGCAGGCGGUUUCUUAAGUCUGAUGUGAAAGCCCCCGGCUCAACCGGGGAGGGUCAUUGGAAACUGGGGAACUUGAGUGCAGAAGAGGAGAGUGGAAUUCCACGUGUAGCGGUGAAAUGCGUAUAGAUGUGGAGGAACACCAGUGGCGAAGGCGACUCUCUG